CCUACGGGAGGCAGCAGUGGGGAAUCUUGCGCAAUGGGCGAAAGCCUGACGCAGCCAUGCCGCGUGAAUGAUGAAGGUCUUAGGAUUGUAAAAUUCUUUCAGUAGGGACGCGGUACCUACAGAAGAAGCCCCGGCUAACUUCGUGCCAGCAGCCGCGGUAAUACGAAGGGGGCUAGCGUUGCUCGGAAUUACUGGGCGUAAAGGGAGCGUAGGCGGACAUUUAAGUCAGGGUGAAAUCCCAGAGCUCAACUCUGGAACUGCCUUGAUACUGGGUGUCUUGAGUGUGAUAGAGGUAUGUGGAACUCCGAGUGUAGAGGUGAAAUUCGUAGAUAUUCGGAAGAACACCAGUGGCGAAGGCGACAUACUGGAUCAUACUGACGCUGAGGCUCGAAAGCGUGGGGAGCAAACAGGAUUAGAUACCCUUGUAGUC
Molecule: ribosomal RNA, 430 nt
Filed under: uncultured bacterium
Lineage: Bacteria
Description: partial 16S ribosomal RNA
Rfam family: Bacterial small subunit ribosomal RNA
Source: RNAcentral